UGAGCAAUCUGCCCUUCUCUUUGGAAUAAGCGUUGGAAACGACGUCUAAUGCCGAAUACGACCUCCUUUCACAUGAUCGGAGGUGGAAAGCUCCGGCGGAGAAGGAUGAGCUCGCGGCCUAUCAGCUAGUUGGUAGGGUAAUGGCCUACCAAGGCUACGAUCAGUAGCUGGUCUGAGAGGAUGAUCAGCCACAGUUGGGACUGAGACACCGGACCCCAAAAUCCCGUAACGGGG
This 234-nucleotide ribosomal RNA is filed under the name uncultured bacterium. Its description in RNAcentral is "partial 16S ribosomal RNA". It matches the Rfam family "Bacterial small subunit ribosomal RNA", at positions 118 to 346 of the family's 1533-position model. The record is from RNAcentral.